RNAcentral lists this ribosomal RNA (253 nucleotides) under uncultured bacterium. RNAcentral's name for it is "partial 16S ribosomal RNA". It matches the Rfam family "Bacterial small subunit ribosomal RNA", at positions 524 to 776 of the family's 1533-position model. The record is from RNAcentral.
UACAGAGGUCUCAAGCGUUGUUCGGAUUCAUUGGGCGUAAAGGGUGCGUAGGUGGUUGGGUAAGUCUGAUGUGAAAUCUCUGAGCUUAACUCAGAAACUGCAUUGGAUACUAUCCGGCUGGAGGAGUGGAGGGGGGACUGGAAUACUUGGUGUAGCAGUGAAAUGCGUAGAUAUCAAGUGGAACACCAGUGGCGAAGGCGAGUCCCUGGACACUUCCUGACACUGAGGCACGAAAGCUAGGGGAGCAAACAGG